This 292-nucleotide ribosomal RNA is filed under the name uncultured bacterium. RNAcentral describes it as "partial 16S ribosomal RNA". It matches the Rfam family "Bacterial small subunit ribosomal RNA", at positions 505 to 796 of the family's 1533-position model. The record is from RNAcentral.
GUGUCAGCCGCCGCGGUAAUACGUAGGGGGCGAGCGUUGUUCGGAUUUACUGGGCGUAAAGAGCGCGUAGGUGGUUCGAUGAGUCGGAUGUGAAAUCCCUCGGCUCAACCGAGGACCCGCGUCCGAUACUGUCGAACUUGAGUGCAGGAGAGGAGAGCGGAAUUCCCAGUGUAGCGGUGAAAUGCGUAGAUAUUGGGAGGAACACCGGUGGCGAAGGCGGCUCUCUGGACUGUCACUGACACUGAGGCGCGAAAGCUAGGGGAGCAAACGGGAUUAGAUACCCGCGUAGUCC